GACGAACGCUGGCGGCGUGCCUAAUACAUGCAAGUAGAACGCUGAAGGAGGAGCUUGCUUCUCUGGAUGAGUUGCGAACGGGUGAGUAACGCGUAGGUAACCUGCCUGGUAGCGGGGGAUAACUAUUGGAAACGAUAGCUAAUACCGCAUAAUAGUAGAUGUUGCAUGACAUUUGCUUAAAAGGUGCAAUUGCAUCACUACCAGAUGGACCUGCGUUGUAUUAGCUAGUUGGUGAGGUAACGGCUCACCAAGGCGACGAUACAUAGCCGACCUGAGAGGGUGAUCGGCCACACUGGGACUGAGACACGGCCCAGACUCCUACGGGAGGCAGCAGUAGGGAAUCUUCGGCAAUGGACGGAAGUCUGACCGAGCAACGCCGCGUGAGUGAAGAAGGUUUUCGGAUCGUAAAGCUCUGUUGUAAGAGAAGAACGAGUGUGAGAGNGGAAAGUUCACACNGNGACG
Molecule: ribosomal RNA, 462 nt
Filed under: uncultured bacterium
Lineage: Bacteria
Description: bacterial SSU rRNA
Rfam family: Bacterial small subunit ribosomal RNA
Source: RNAcentral